RNAcentral lists this ribosomal RNA (598 nucleotides) under Lactobacillus delbrueckii subsp. lactis. RNAcentral's name for it is "bacterial SSU rRNA". It matches the Rfam family "Bacterial small subunit ribosomal RNA", at positions 36 to 605 of the family's 1533-position model. Lineage: Bacteria; Bacillati; Bacillota; Bacilli; Lactobacillales; Lactobacillaceae. The record is from RNAcentral.
CGUGCGGGGGCUACUACAUGCAGUCGAGCGAGCUGAAUUCAAAGAUCCCUUCGGGGUGAUUUGUUGGACGCUAACGGCGGAUGGGUGAGUAACACGUGGGCAAUCUGCCCUAAAGACUGGGAUACCACUUGGAAACAGGUGCUAAUACCGGAUAACAACAUGAAUCGCAUGAUUCAAGUUUGAAAGGCGGCGCAAGCUGUCACUUUAGGAUGAGCCCGCGGCGCAUUAGCUAGUUGGUGGGGUAAAGGCCUACCAAGGCAAUGAUGCGUAGCCGAGUUGAGAGACUGAUCGGCCACAUUGGGACUGAGACACGGCCCAAACUCCUACGGGAGGCAGCAGUAGGGAAUCUUCCACAAUGGACGCAAGUCUGAUGGAGCAACGCCGCGUGAGUGAAGAAGGUCUUCGGAUCGUAAAGCUCUGUUGUUGGUGAAGAAGGAUAGAGGCAGUAACUGGUCUUUAUUUGACGGUAAUCAACCAGAAAGUCACGGCUAACUACGUGCCAGCAGCCGCGGAAAUACGUAGGUGGCAAGCGUUGUCCGGAUUUAUUGGGCGUAAACCGAUCGCAGGCGGAAAUGAUAAGUCUGAUGUGAAAGCCCAC